UCCCUGGUGGUCCAGUGGCUAAGACUCUGCAUUCACAAUGCAGAGCACCCAGGUUCAAUUCCUGAUCAGUAAA
RNAcentral lists this transfer RNA (73 nucleotides) under Bos taurus (domestic cattle). It matches the Rfam family "tRNA". From Rfam's summary of the family: Transfer RNA (tRNA) molecules are approximately 80 nucleotides in length. The record is from Rfam by way of RNAcentral. Lineage: Eukaryota; Metazoa; Chordata; Mammalia; Artiodactyla; Bovidae. RNAcentral also lists the same sequence under 4 other names.